GAUAACCUUAAAUUUGGGCCAUUACACGGAUCCCCCUUGGAGUGGGUCGGAUCGCGGCGGGUCAUAGGGGUUAAAACGGCGCCGUUUAGUUAUGUAUUAAAACUAAGAAAAAAAACCCUAAAAACAUUUUAAACAACUACCAAAAAAAGAAAAAAAUGGAAGAGAGCAUCCUCUGCUCCAAAGCCACACAAAGUCCGGCCUAGGGCUCCGCCCUUGCGCCGCCUUGUCCCCAC
This 233-nucleotide long non-coding RNA is filed under the name Gossypium raimondii (Peruvian cotton). Its description in RNAcentral is "long non-coding RNA (GRAI_LNC002379)". Lineage: Eukaryota; Viridiplantae; Streptophyta; Magnoliopsida; Malvales; Malvaceae. The record is from RNAcentral.